Long non-coding RNA from Gasterosteus aculeatus aculeatus (three-spined stickleback), 777 nucleotides. Lineage: Eukaryota; Metazoa; Chordata; Actinopteri; Perciformes; Gasterosteidae. The record is from Ensembl.
AGCAUAACAGGGAGCUUCCCUGCCCUGUGACAACCAACUGGAAUGAGACACUGGUGUAACUGGGAUACAUGUGAUGGUCUUUUGUGUGGUUUACUGGCACUGAGGAGUGUUAUGGAACUCUUGUGCUCUGAACGAUCAUGACCACACCCAGGAUUACCUGCUGCCAUACAAAUACUAUUCAUUCCUACAGAUAUAUUUCUGGGAAUUAGAUCAAUUAUAAAAUAUAUCUGACUUGACUCAUCUCUCUGACUCCUCUUCCUCUCCGACCUGUUCUCUCUCAGUUCAUGUCCAGAUGUCCUCCAGCAGGAAUGUUGAUGUCUCUCACCGACCAUGUGGCCCAGCCUCACUUAUACGGUCCAUUAAAAUAUCCCCUCUUAAGCAGCUGACUGAAUAAUGAUUGACAGCUUGUGAAGCACAAAGGCUAUUUGACGACAACACUUUGGAAGAUAUGCAUUUAAUUGGUCUGUAACGGACAGCUGGAGCUGUUCCCUUCAGUCCUCCUCCGUCAGAUGGGAAUGGUUUUAGUAGAUCACUUUGCAAGCCAGUACAGGAGCAACAUUUACAACGACCAUUGGUGACGGGGGGAAACCACGUCUUGCUUUUAAUCCCUUAAGCAAGAGGAGUUAACUGGAACAAAACACAUGGGUUGGAUGCAGAAAAGCGCAACACGGAGGAGUCACUCAGCGUACGCAUGGCUCACCUCAGGGCUUCUUCUUUUUACGCGGCCCUUCUGCAGGGCUCUGCGCUCAGCCUACUUCGGUCCCGUCUAUAUUUAGG